RNAcentral lists this ribosomal RNA (254 nucleotides) under uncultured bacterium. RNAcentral's name for it is "partial 16S ribosomal RNA". It matches the Rfam family "Bacterial small subunit ribosomal RNA", at positions 524 to 776 of the family's 1533-position model. The record is from RNAcentral.
UACGGAGGGUGCGAGCGUUGUCCGGAAUCAUUGGGCGUAAAGGGCGCGUAGGUGGCCCGGUCAGUCUUUGGUGAAAGCGCGGGGCUCAACCCUGCGUCGGCCAGGGAUACUGCCGCGGCUCGAGCAUAGAUGACGUUGGCGGAAUAUGACAUGUAGUGGUGAAAUACUUAGAUAUGUCAUAGAACACCGAUUGCGAAGGCAGCUAACGAAACUAUAACUGACGCUGAGGCACGAAAGUGCGGGGAUCAAACAGG